Molecule: ribosomal RNA, 909 nt
Filed under: human gut metagenome
Description: bacterial SSU rRNA
Rfam family: Bacterial small subunit ribosomal RNA
Source: RNAcentral
AAAGUUUGCCGCUCAACCGUAAAAUUGCAGUUCAAACUGGCAGUAUUGAGUACAGUAGAGGUGGGCGGAAUUCGUGGUGUAGCGGUGAAAUGCUUAGAUAUCACGAAGAACUCCGAUUGCGAAGGCAGCUCACUAGACUGUUACUGACACUGAUGCUCGAAAGUGUGGGUAUCAAACAGGAUUAGAUACCCUGGUAGUCCACACAGUAAACGAUGAAUACUCGCUGUUUGCGAUAUACAGUAAGCGGCCAAGCGAAAGCAUUAAGUAUUCCACCUGGGGAGUACGCCGGCAACGGUGAAACUCAAAGGAAUUGACGGGGGCCCGCACAAGCGGAGGAACAUGUGGUUUAAUUCGAUGAUACGCGAGGAACCUUACCCGGGCUUAAAUUGCAACAGAAUAUAUUGGAAACAGUAUAGCCGUAAGGCUGUUGUGAAGGUGCUGCAUGGUUGUCGUCAGCUCGUGCCGUGAGGUGUCGGCUUAAGUGCCAUAACGAGCGCAACCCUUAUCUUUAGUUACUAACAGGUUAUGCUGAGGACUCUAGAGAGACUGCCGUCGUAAGAUGUGAGGAAGGUGGGGAUGACGUCAAAUCAGCACGGCCCUUACGUCCGGGGCUACACACGUGUUACAAUGGGGGGUACAGAAGGCGGCUACCUGGUGACAGGAUGCUAAUCCCAAAAACCUCUCUCAGUUCGGAUCGAAGUCUGCAACCCGACUUCGUGAAGCUGGAUUCGCUAGUAAUCGCGCAUCAGCCAUGGCGCGGUGAAUACGUUCCCGGGCCUUGUACACACCGCCCGUCAAGCCAUGAAAGCCGGGGGUACCUGAAGUACGUAACCGCAAGGAGCGUCCUAGGGUAAAACUGGUAAUUGGGGCUAAGUCGUAACAAGGUAGCCGUACCGGAAGGUGCGGCUG